RNAcentral lists this long non-coding RNA (2026 nucleotides) under Fukomys damarensis (Damara mole-rat). RNAcentral's name for it is "lncRNA (ENSFDAG00000021911.1)". The record is from RNAcentral. Lineage: Eukaryota; Metazoa; Chordata; Mammalia; Rodentia; Bathyergidae.
GGGUCGGCAUGGCCCAGCCCUGCGGCACCUGCGAGGCCCGACCCCUCAGAGCACGGCCGUGGGCGUUCCCAGGCUCCCCCAGUGAGGUGGCAGGGCUACUCCCACUCCGGAGAGGGGUAAACUGAGGCGGGAAGCCGAGGAGUCAGGAAGGUACCUGUCCUCCAACAGACGCAGCUUUCACAGCAGUACUAUUAGGGCUCCUCUGCUCGCAUUCUGGGAAUCACAAGCUAACAGGCACUGGGUAGGACUCUGUGCUGUUGGACCACUCAGGAUGCCUUUAGAAAGCCGCGAGUGUUCAGGGGCUGAGUUCAGGCCCAGGGAGGCUGAUGGGCACGUGUAAGGGGUGAGGCCUUGCGGUGGGGAAGCCUGCUGUGAACAACAAGCACUGUGCUUGCCUGUCCAGUGGGGAGACCAAAUCCCACUGGAGCUGGUCGUCCCUGGGGCUGGCUGCCCGGGAGUGGGAUCAGGGAGGAGCUGAACCUCAGGACCAAGGCUGGCCAGGCCGAGGCAUGGAGGAGGGUCUGAGUCUGGGGAUGAGGCUGCAGGAGGCUCUGGCACUGAGGCUGAGCUCGGAGGGCAGGUUUAGGGGCUGGGCUGGGGUGGUCAGCGUCUCUGUCUCUUCUUAUGCCUGGCUCCCAGACUCAGCUCCCACAGCAGAAGAUGCAGCUGCAGGAGGCCUGCAUGCGCAAGGAGAAGAGUGUGGCCCUGCUGGAGCACCAGCUGGUGGAGGUGGAGGUGAGGGCUGCUGGGGAACAUGGGCAGGGGGUCCAGGCUGAGGACAGCUCACCAAUGCGCUCGCCUGCCCCCUACAGGAAACGGUGCGGCAGUUCCGGGGGGCUGUUGGGGAGCAGCUGGGCAAGAUGCGGCUGUUCCUGGCCGCGCUGGAGGGCUCUUUGGACCGGGAGGCAGAACGAGUUCGGGGCGAGGCUGGGGUGGCCUUACGGAGGGAGCUGGCAGGCCUGAACUCCUACCUGGAGCAGCUGCGGCAGAUGGAGAAGGUGCUGGACGAGGUGGCCGACAAAGCACAGACCGAGUUCCUCAUGAAAUAUUGCCUGGUGACAAGCAGGCUGCAGAAGAUCCUGGCAGAGUCACCACCCCCUGCUCGUCUGGAUAUCCAGUUGCCUGUCAUUUCAGACGACUUCAAAUUCCAGGUGUGGAGGAAGAUGUUCCGGGCUCUGAUGCCAGGUACUGAGAGGGCGGACCCCGAGCUUGUGUGUGAGGGGUUAGUGGGGUCCCAAUUCAACUCAGGAAGGCACCGAAGGCACCCGCACCUCAGCUCUGGCUCCCCCUGCAGCCCUCUAAUCUGCACGUGGAAGACUUCGGAGGGCAUGGUGUUCACAGGUGACAGACAGGGGGAGAGCGUUGCUGUUGGCAGACAGGAGGCUGGGGCUUGAGUUUGAACCACUGACUCCCGUGUCAUCCUUGGCCAGGCACUGCCUCUCUCUGGAUAUGGAGACGAAGAUUCCUGUUCAUGGGGGUGGGCUGGGGGCUGAGGGUCCGAAGCGCACCUGGAACCCUGGGCACUGGCCUGGGUCAGACACUGGCUCUCGAGCCCAUGGCUGGGGUAGCUCAAGCCUGAGCCUUGGCUCCCAAGGGUACAGCACAUCCGGAUGCUACAGGCCAUGCGGCACAUCUGACGCAGCCCUUGCUGUCUCUGGUUGGUGAGCUGAGACCCGGGUUUAGUCCAGAGAAAACUGAGACCCAGAAACCCGGUCAGGAGAGAGGCCAGGUGUGGUGGCACAUGCCUCUGAGGCGGAGGCAGAAGCAUCCCGAGUUCCAGUGUAGACAGGGACAAGGGUUCAGUCGCCAGGAACCCCAGCCCUCCACGGGAUGACUGAGGACCAGGCCUGGCGAUGGCCUGAGGCGACCUGGGUCUAGUUGGGGCCACAGGCGGCGGGUCCCUCCCUGGUUACCCGCAGAGCUGCCCCGGCCCGAAAGAGGGAAUUGGGGCUCGUUGGGCGGCUGGGCAGAAUGAUCCAGGGCGGCCGGCUGACCGCGGCGUCCCCGCAGCGCUGGAGCAGCUCAC